Molecule: ribosomal RNA, 440 nt
Filed under: uncultured bacterium
Lineage: Bacteria
Description: partial 16S ribosomal RNA
Rfam family: Bacterial small subunit ribosomal RNA
Source: RNAcentral
CUACGGGUCGCUGCAGUGAGGAAUAUUGCACAAUGGGGGGAACCCUGAUGCAGCAACGCCGCGCGGAGGAUGACGCAUUUCGGUGUGUAAACUCCUUUUAUAUGUCAAGAAAAUGACGGUAGCAUAUGAAUAAGCACCGGCUAACUCCGUGCCAGCAGCCGCGGUAAUGACGGAGGGUGCAAGCGUUACUCGGAAUCACUGGGCGUAAAGGACGCGUAGGCGGGUUGGAAAGUCAGGUGUGAAAUCCUACAGCUUAACUGUAGAACUGCACUUGAAACUUCUAAUCUAGAGUAUGGGAGGGGGAGAUGGAAUUAGUGGUGUAGGGGUAAAAUCCGUAGAUAUCACUAGGAAUACCUAAAGCGAAGGCGAUCUCCUGGAACAUUACUGACGCUAAGGCGUGAAAGCGUGGGGAGCAAACAGGAUUAGAUACCCCAGUAGUC